GCACUGACUGCUAUCGGAUUGAUACUAAGCCAUGCGAGUCAUUGUAGCAAUACAAGGCAGACGGCUCAGUAACGCGUAGUCAACCUACCCUAUGGACGGGAAUAACCUCGGGAAACUGAGAAUAAUGCCCGAUAGAACAUUAUGCCUGGAAUGGUUUAUGUUCCAAAUGAUUUAUCGCCGUAGGAUGGGACUGCGGCCUAUCAGUUUGUUGGUGAGGUAAUGGCCCACCAAGACUAUUACAGGUACGGGCUCUGAGAGGAGUGGCCCGGAGAUGGGUACUGAGACACGGACCCAGGCCCUAUGGGGCGCAGCAGGCGAGAAAACUUUGCAAUGUGCGAAAGCACGACAAGGUUAAUCCGAGUGGUUUCUGCUAAAGGAACCUUUUGUCGGUCCUAGAAACACCGAUGAAUAAGGGGUGGGCAAGUUCUGGUGUCAGCCGCCGCGGUAAAACCAGCACCUCAAGUUGUCAGGAUGAUUAUUGGGCCUAAAGCAUCCGUAGCCGGCUCUGUUAGUUUUCGGUUAAAUCUGUACGCUUAACGUACAGGCUGCCGGGAAUACUGCAGAGCUAGGGAGUGGGAGAGGUAGACGGUACUCGGUAGGAAGGGGUAAAAUCCUUUGAUCUUUUGGUGACCACCUGUGGCGAA
Molecule: ribosomal RNA, 644 nt
Filed under: uncultured marine archaeon
Lineage: Archaea
Description: bacterial SSU rRNA
Rfam family: Archaeal small subunit ribosomal RNA
Source: RNAcentral